This 468-nucleotide ribosomal RNA is filed under the name uncultured bacterium. RNAcentral describes it as "partial 16S ribosomal RNA". It matches the Rfam family "Bacterial small subunit ribosomal RNA", at positions 28 to 507 of the family's 1533-position model. The record is from RNAcentral.
GACGAACGCUGGCGGCGUGCUUAACACAUGCAAGUCGAACGGAAAGGCCCUGCUUUUGUGGGGUGCUCGAGUGGCGAACGGGUGAGUAACACGUGAGUAACCUGCCCUUGACUUUGGGAUAACUUCAGGAAACUGGGGCUAAUACCGGAUAGGAGCUCCUGCUGCAUGGUGGGGGUUGGAAAGUUUCGGCGGUUGGGGAUGGACUCGCGGCUUAUCAGCUUGUUGGUGGGGUAGUGGCUUACCAAGGCUUUGACGGGUAGCCGGCCUGAGAGGGUGACCGGCCACAUUGGGACUGAGGUACGGCCCAGACUCCUACGGGGGGCAGCAGUGGGGAAUAUUGCACAAUGGGCGGAAGCCUGAUGCAGCGACGCCGCGUGCGGGAUGACGGCCUUCGGGUUGUAAACCGCUUUCGCCUGUGACGAAGCGUGAGUGACGGUACUGGGUAAAGAAGCACCGGCUAACUACGUG